This 502-nucleotide ribosomal RNA is filed under the name uncultured bacterium. RNAcentral describes it as "partial 16S ribosomal RNA". It matches the Rfam family "Bacterial small subunit ribosomal RNA", at positions 899 to 1397 of the family's 1533-position model. The record is from RNAcentral.
ACUCAAAUGAAUUGACGGGGACCCGCACAAGCGGUGGAGUAUGUGGUUUAAUUCGAAGCAACGCGCAGAACCUUACCAGCUCUUGACAUGUAACAGAAUGGUUUAGGAGACUAGAUCAGACACUUCGGGUGCUGUUAACACAGGUGCUGCAUGGCUGUCGUCAGCUCGUGUCGUGAGAUGUUGGGUUAAGUCCCGCAACGAGCGCAACCCUCAUUGUUAAUUGCCAUCAGGUAUGGCUGGGCACUUUAACGAAACUGCCGGUGACAAGCCGGAGGAAGGUGGGGAUGACGUCAAGUCCUCAUGGCCCUUAUGGGCUGGGCUACACACGUACUACAAUGGUGGUGACAGAAGGAAGCGACGGGGUGACCCUGAGCGGAUCCUCAAAAGCCACCUCAGUUCGGAUUGUUCUCUGCAACUCGAGAACAUGAAGUCGGAAUCGCUAGUAAUCGUAGAUCAGCAUGCUACGGUGAAUACGUUCCCGGGUCUUGUACACACCGCCCGU